UUGGGUUUUUGCUGUCAUUUAUUUUCAUUGAUUUCUUAACAUUAUUUUACAUUUUAAAUAAAAAUUGUGUAUAUUUAAAGUGCACAAUGUGUUGUUCUCAUGUACACUGACAUAGUGACAUGAUUACUAUGGUAAAGCUAAUUAACACUUCCUUCUCCUCACAUAACUCCUUUAUUUAUGUGUUGGGAGCAGCUCGGAUCUACUCAGCGACUUUCCAGAGAGCCGUGUGGCUUUACUAAUGACAGACAUCGUGGUGCAUUCCAGACCCCUGGGCUUGUUCAUCUGACGUCACUGCAACCUCCUGAUUCCACUCAAUAGGCCAAGACAAGCGGAAGCUCCGGUUCAGGGAGAACGUUCCCCAGGAAAUCAGGGCAGCAGAGUUUUCCAGGAACGGAGGCUGUGACGGUGGAGGGUGGCCAGGCAGCAGGAGGCCGGGGAAGCGGGUGUCCUGAAGCAGAGGCCGCGGCGCCACGUGUAUGGCAGCUUGCAGUGAACUGAACGUGCAGUGCUGAAGCACUUGUGAAUCAUCACACCUGCAGGGACCACCCGAUGGCAGACUCCCCGCGCUUCUGCACCGCUGCCUCCACGGGGCGGACUCCAGGCCCCUUGCAGUCCCCACCAGGCCCUGAAGACGCACUGACACUCAGCAGAGCUCACCUCCUGAGGACUCUCAGUAUACUCUUGUUCUCUGAGGACAGUGUCGCCCGGGUGAUGUCCUGGUGUGCUGCAUGGAUAUCCUGCGCGGGAACCCAGGAGACACACUGGUGGGAGCAGUGAUUGCAUUUGGCCAAGGCUCAUUCACCAGGAGAGUGAGCCAGUGGCCAUGUGCGGCAGGACCCAGGUGUGCAGCAGGACCCGGGCAGCUCUAGAAGUCCACAGGAGGAGCUACACGGGAGACGUCGUCCUUCCCAACACUGACACGGGACGCUAGUGCGCUCUUCCAACAGAGCUGCUUAGGAACAGAGGACUUAGAGGAGAAGGCAUGGGUGGGAGAGAGGGGCUGGGUAGUGAGCGAGGGAGAGGUGGGCAGAGGCCUGCGGUGGAGCCCACAGCUGGAGGCAGACAGCUCACUGGGGAGGAGAUGGGGAGAACAGAGGAGACUGUGACCACAACAAGAGAGUGUGCGUGAAGAGAAUCCAGAGUUCCUCCCCCUGUGCUGUGGGCAGAGAAGCACUGGGCUUGGCCAGCAGCAGAGCGGAGGCCGCCACCCUCUACCCACCAUCAAGGACCCGGGCAUCAAAGGCGGGAGCCAUGACCCUCAUCAGCACAGGCCUGUCUUUUUCCCUUCUGGAGUGUGAUGCUGUCCCGAUUUCAUGCACAGCUGUCCGGCCGCGGAGAGAAACGCAGGGUGCACGGCUUUCCUGUGCCCACUCUGGAAAGCUUCUCAUGUGCGCUGAGUUGGCCACAAGAUAGAUGAGUUAUUGUCUGAGGGGUGCUUGUACCCACUAGGGCCCUUUCAGAGUUGAGAGAGGCAGCAUCUUGCAGAGAGGAAUGUUCUAGAAACUUCCCUGUGAGCACCAGCUCCGCAGGCUCCUUCUGUGUGGUGAAGAUGUCUGUGACAAAAACACUCCCAAAGCCUAAGCAAGGGUGUGAGCGCCCUAGAGAGACCGUUUGCCCCACCCCGGAAAUGUUCAUUCCUGCCAUGGAACCUUCCUGUUCAUUCCACAGAGGCUGAGCCGGCUUGUGGGGCUUGGCAAGGACUAGGCGGGGGGCAUCGAACCCUAAGGAGCUGAGCCACCGCUGGGGUCGGGGUCCAGUCCUGGGGAACGCGGGUCCCUGGAGCACAGCAGGGCCUGACCGCCUCCGCGCCGCCCUCCCCGCAUUUCCUCUCCUCCUCCCCAAGCCCAUGGCUCAGAACACCGAGACCUGCCUCGCCAAGAAACGCCCAUUUAUUUCCUUCCUAUUUAUUUAUUUUGCAAAAGCCGCCUUUUGAAAGCCGGAGUGCAGUGCGGACUGGCUGAGGCCGGGGCCCAGGCGCGCGCCUCCUUCCUGCAGGCGGCCCGGGGCAUCGAUCGCGCGGGGCGUAAUGAACCCUAAUAACAG
RNAcentral lists this long non-coding RNA (2043 nucleotides) under Homo sapiens (human). RNAcentral's name for it is "HSALNT0324732". Lineage: Eukaryota; Metazoa; Chordata; Mammalia; Primates; Hominidae. The record is from RNAcentral.